Molecule: ribosomal RNA, 464 nt
Filed under: Vreelandella stevensii
Lineage: Bacteria; Pseudomonadati; Pseudomonadota; Gammaproteobacteria; Oceanospirillales; Halomonadaceae
Description: partial 16S ribosomal RNA
Rfam family: Bacterial small subunit ribosomal RNA
Source: RNAcentral
CCUACGGGGGGCAGCAGUGGGGAAUAUUGGACAAUGGGGGCAACCCUGAUCCAGCCAUGCCGCGUGUGUGAAGAAGGCCCUCGGGUUGUAAAGCACUUUCAGUGAGGAAGAACGCCUGGUGGUUAAUACCCAUCAGGAAAGACAUCACUCACAGAAGAAGCACCGGCUAACUCCGUGCCAGCAGCCGCGGUAAUACGGAGGGUGCGAGCGUUAAUCGGAAUUACUGGGCGUAAGCGCGCGUAGGUGGCUUGAUAAGCCGGUUGUGAAAGCCCCGGGCUCAACCUGGGAACGGCAUCCGGAACUGUCAAGCUAGAGUGCAGGAGAGGAAGGUAGAAUUCCCGGUGUAGCGGUGAAAUGCGUAGAGAUCGGGAGGAAUACCAGUGGCGAAGGCGGCCUUCUGGACUGACACUGACACUGAGGUGCGAAAGCGUGGGUAGCAAACAGGAUUAGAUACCCUAGUAGUC